RNAcentral lists this ribosomal RNA (253 nucleotides) under uncultured bacterium. RNAcentral describes it as "partial 16S ribosomal RNA". It matches the Rfam family "Bacterial small subunit ribosomal RNA", at positions 524 to 776 of the family's 1533-position model. The record is from RNAcentral.
UACGGAGGGUGCGAGCGUUGUCCGGAAUCACUGGGCGUAAAGGGUGCGUAGGUGGCAGGGUAAGUUUGAUGUGAAAUCUCCGAGCUUAACUCGGAAACUGCAUUGAAUACUAUCCUGCUCGAGGGUUGGAAGGGGGACUGGAAUUCUCGGUGUAGCAGUGAAAUGCGUAGAUAUCGAGAGGAACACCAGUGGCGAAGGCGAGUCCCUGGACAACACCUGACACUGAGGCACGAAAGCUAGGGGAGCAAACAGG